AAAAGCAGCCAUGUCACCCUGCAACUCACAACUGGCAACCCACUGAAGCUCAGCAGGUGUGAGCCUGGUCAGUACCUGGAUGGGAGACCUCCUGGGAAAAACUAAGGUUGCUGCUGGAA
Lepisosteus oculatus (spotted gar) is the source of this 119-nucleotide ribosomal RNA. The record is from Ensembl. Lineage: Eukaryota; Metazoa; Chordata; Actinopteri; Semionotiformes; Lepisosteidae.